This is a non-coding RNA of Camellia sinensis, 3975 nucleotides long. Lineage: Eukaryota; Viridiplantae; Streptophyta; Magnoliopsida; Ericales; Theaceae. The record is from RefSeq and is a predicted model, not a curated record.
GAGUGCCAAACACCAAAAAAAAUUUAAAAACAAAAAAAAGGAAGGAUAGUGAGGAAGCUGUUUGAUUAGGGUUUCGGGGGUAUGAAAGCUGAAUCGCCCAUCAGUUGUGGUCAAUCUGGAAAGACAAUCACGAACCCUAGUUCUUUUGCUGAGUCUAUGGAAGCUUUUAGAAAGAAACUCAACAUGAGGAAAGCCACUGUUUCAGGUGUGAAUCAUGAAGACUUAACCCCUUUCUUUUAAAAGGAAAUUUCGACUCCGGCAGCUGCACUAAACUUGUUAAAAUCGAGAUGGUCCGAUAAAGAGGGUAGUGAGGAAACUGUUAUCAACCGAUUUAGGGAUUUACCUGAUAGCUUGAUUAUAGCUAGGGCUAGGAAUAUGGUUUCCAAUCUGGAUGAAUAAGAGAUUGUAUAUGAGGACAUAACGUCUCAGAAGCUUUCAGAUCUUGAAAUGGGCAUGGAUAGGGUGAGCCCUAAGGCAAGGAGUUCGAGUCAUCGAGAAGAUCUGGGGAUAAGAAAUGUUUUCGCUCAGAUGGGUGGACGUAUUGGUCUACAACAGGGGAUACGAGGUGGAAGGGGUGGAAGAGGUGUUAGGCAACAAACUGGGUUCUUGGUAAAUCAAAGCGAGCAAGGGAAGGGUAAUGAUGCUGCCAACUCUAUCCCAGUGGCGAACCCAGUUGUGCUGGAGAAGAAGACCUGGGCCUCGGUGGUAGCUACAAAUCAGAGAUCUGCUGUGAAACAAAGAUUAUUUCUGUGGCUACAAUUCCACAAUUCAUGCGUCAAUCAUUGAACGAUAAUACUACAGCUGACAAAAGUGACUAUCUUUGGUAUUCACUAAGCACUAACAUUCAAGGUAGGUCCCAAACAGUUCUUCAUGUGGAAUCACUUGGCCAUGCCCUUCAUGCUUUUAUUGGAAUCACUUGGCCAUGCCCAUUUUGCAAUUCAUAUUUUCUUGGAUUGUAACUACUUUUUUUUUUCAAUCAGUUACUUCAGCAAGCAGGAGAGAGAAUGCCAAUUUGGGAUUGAUAUAAAAAGGGCACAAGGGUGAGAAGUCAAACGAAUGUUGGAGGAUGAGAACUGCCUCUUUCGUGCUGUUGCAGAUCAGCUAUAUGGGGACUUUGAUACAUAUGACUUGGUUAGACAAACGUGCAUGGAUUAUAAAUUUAUAUGGUGUCACUAUUCUUAUGUGACUUCCUAUCCUUAGAAGCUAAAGUGUAUAUCUUUCAUUUUUAUGUGUGUAGACACCCUAUUUUUGACCGCCCUUAAAACUUGGGCGCUUUAUUCCGAACACCCGAUGAUGAAAAUUACAUUGUGCAAUCAUUUAAAUUCUCAGCGAAGAAAUUUGGGUUCAAGCUCUAAUUCCAAAGCUUGCACCCCAUUUUAGCCAAACUAUUUUAGACUUAGAAACCCUCUUUUCAAAAUAUUUUUCCAAAUGCUUCUAUGAUGUCUGAGGCUCGCAUUUUGUUUAAAAACAUUGCACUUUUAGGUAAACUGAGUAGGGACAAAGUGGAAAUGAAUGGAAGAGAAGUGAACUCUUUAAAAAAUCUUUUAAAACUUCUUAUUUAUAGGUUUGGAGUUAAAGAAAAUAGAAGGGGUUGGAAGAAAACCAGUUAAGAAAGGUGAGCAUCAAACCAUUGAGAAAGAACUGAGCAACCUUCACAAACCAGGCCUAUCUCUUUGCACACUUAGACUUUAGUUAUAAGGCCACCACCAUUGGAAAGUAGACUUCCAAGGUUUCAAUUUAGACUCAAGAAUCAGCUAAAAUCGAGUCCGGAUGAGGGAGAUAUGCUCGUUUGAAGUCGGGCCUGAAGUGCAGUCAUUGAGACCCGGCCAGGUCUACGUAGACCCGGCCAGGUCUAUGUAGAACCGGCCGAGCUUUAGUGAAAAUUUUUCUAGAGCUCUUUUUUGGGCUGACCAUGCAUUAUUGAGGCCCGACCGUGGGUUUUGAGGGCCGGCCGGGCCUCGAUGGCGCCAAACAGACAACUGGCGGGAAUUAACAAAUAUCUUUGUUUGAAGAUAUUUUUUGGACCAAAUUAGCUCAAAUUCUAUAAAUAGGACCUCCCACUUCAGAUUUUAAGGUUAGAAAAAACUUUCCAAGAGGCUUAGAUAUUGAUGAGCCAUCCUUGAACCUCCUUGAACCUUCAAGCCUCUUUUCUUCUCCAAAUCAACUUUCACCCUCCAUACACCAUUAAAGCUUGGAUUUGAAGCUUUCUUGUAGAGAAUUUACAACAUAUUUUCAUAGCCUAGAGGGUUAGGAAAUAUUUCCAAAAGCUUUGAAGGUUUUUGAGAGCUAAGAACAUCCAUCUCCCUUCCAAACUUCAUAUCACCUUUUAACUAUACAUACACAAUACAUACACCAUUGGAGCUUGUUUUUGAAGUUUUUUUGAGAUUUUAAAAAAGUUUCAUAAACUUAAGGGUGUUGGAAUUGAGUUUAUUAACUAAGAGCUUACCUCUCUUUCAAAGGUGUAAUUUUGCACUUUCUUCUUUCAUCUUCUUCUACUCCUUUCCACUAUUUUUCUCGUCUUUAUAUACUGAUUUUCAGAGUUUGUAAAGGCUGAAAAACAUGAUUUAAAAGUCUGAAAAGUUUAGGGGUUAGCCACCUUUCCUUGAUUUUGCUUACUAGCUUUAUAUCUCUUGCGUUUGCUUAUUUUUUUGUGCUCUUCAAACACAUUUUUAGCCACUGUUUUUGGGCUGUUUUUGGACUGUAUUUGGACUGUUUUGAGGCUGAAACAUGUGAUUUAAAAUUGCAAAAAGUGAGGGGUUAGCCACCCCUCCUUAGGCUUUGUUCCAUGACUUUUUCUCUACUCUUUUUACUUACUUUCUCUUGGUCUUAACUACUGUUUUUUUGCACUUUAGGGGCUGUUUUAGGGCUGUCCUAAUUUAUUUAAUUACUUCAAGUUUUGAUUAGUUCAUUUGUUGUCUCCUAAGUUUACUUGUAUAGCUUGUUGCAUGUUGUUCUAACUCUUCUUCAACUCAUUUCUAUGUUUAAUAACCUCAUUAAAAUAAUCAACUUGCCACUCCUUUAUUAUUUCAUUUGAGAGUUGUUUCAAGUGUUGAUGGUUAUUCAAUACAUGAACUAGAGUGUUGCGCUUAAUGGUUUAAUCUCUAAGGAGAUUCAUUGUCAAUGGUGUAAUCUCUCUUUCAUGUUGAGAAUUACUUCCCAUUUGACGAUUCUCUCCUUUUAGAGGACUUAACCACCAUGGACAAAUGGACUAAUGAAUGACAAUGACUAAACAAAUUGGUUUAAAAUUGGAUCAACGCACAUAAAGAAAAUGGCUGGAAUUGCUUGAACUUGGCUGAACAUUAUGCCAAGUUUCUUGUGUCAAGAGUUGUCACAUGCUAAUUCAUGACAUUUUGAUGAUUCUUGAAGCAUCGCAACCUCCCUCUUUGAGUUUAUUCCAUGACAAGAGAGAGGGGUGGUCUCAUUCGUUGCAUUUCAUUGAUUUUUGUCCAAGAUUGCAUCCAAGACCAUCAAGCAAAUCAAGCAAUCAAUUUGCUUAUUGAUGGCUUUGGAAUCAAUUUCAACCUUCUCUCGAGGCUUUCCCAUGACAGAGGAGGAAGAAAGGGACAAACAGAGCUUGAGGACACUCUGUCUGCACUGAUUCACCUCAGAACACAAAAAGAGUUUUGCACCAAAUUGAUACAAGGCCAGCCAUCUGUAGGCCCGGCCGGUCAUCAGUGAUGCACGACCAGCCCUCAGUGUGUGGCCAACAGUGCAGUUUUGCAGGAAACAAAGGCAAUGGCUGAAGGUGAAACAAAGGCGGCAUGGGCAGACAGAGUAGCUCUCAGGCGUUGUGCAUGCAACCUUCAUCCAUUUUCACUUACGCAUUUUGUCGAAUGUAAUUAAUCUUAUUGUAAUUAAUUCGUUGUAGCUAGUUAAUUUUGUAAAGUGUUGUAAUUAAUUAGUUAGUUAAUUAUUUAUUCAAAUUUCGUUUUGUAAUUAAUUAGUUAGUUAAUUAUUUAUUCAAAUUUCGUUUUA